UUAAAUUGAAGAGUUUGAUCAUGGCUCAGAUUGAACGCUGGCGGCAGGCCUAACACAUGCAAGUCGAACGGUAACAGGAAGCAGCUUGCUGCUUUGCUGACGAGUGGCGGACGGGUGAGUAAUGUCUGGGAAACUGCCUGAUGGAGGGGGAUAACUACUGGAAACGGUGGCUAAUACCGCAUAACGUCGCAAGACCAAAGAGGGGGACCUUCGGGCCUCUUGCCAUCAGAUGUGCCCAGAUGGGAUUAGCUUGUUGGUGAGGUAACGGCUCACCAAGGCGACGAUCCCUAGCUGGUCUGAGAGGAUGACCAGCCACACUGGAACUGAGACACGGUCCAGACUCCUACGGGAGGCAGCAGUGGGGAAUAUUGCACAAUGGGCGCAAGCCUGAUGCAGCCAUGCCGCGUGUAUGAAGAAGGCCUUCGGGUUGUAAAGUACUUUCAGCGGGGAGGAAGGUGUUGUGGUUAAUAACCACAGCAAUUGACGUUACCCGCAGAAGAAGCACCGGCUAACUCCGUGCCAGCAGCCGCGGUAAUACGGAGGGUGCAAGCGUUAAUCGGAAUUACUGGGCGUAAAGCGCACGCAGGCGGUCUGUCAAGUCGGAUGUGAAAUCCCCGGGCUCAACCUGGGAACUGCAUUCGAAACUGGCAGGCUUGAGUCUUGUAGAGGGGGGUAGAAUUCCAGGUGUAGCGGUGAAAUGCGUAGAGAUCUGGAGGAAUACCGGUGGCGAAGGCGGCCCCCUGGACAAAGACUGACGCUCAGGUGCGAAAGCGUGGGGAGCAAACAGGAUUAGAUACCCUGGUAGUCCACGCCGUAAACGAUGUCUACUUGGAGGUUGUGCCCUUGAGGCGUGGCUUCCGGAGCUAACGCGUUAAGUAGACCGCCUGGGGAGUACGGCCGCAAGGUUAAAACUCAAAUGAAUUGACGGGGGCCCGCACAAGCGGUGGAGCAUGUGGUUUAAUUCGAUGCAACGCGAAGAACCUUACCUGGUCUUGACAUCCACGGAAGUUUUCAGAGAUGAGAAUGUGCCUUCGGGAACCGUGAGACAGGUGCUGCAUGGCUGUCGUCAGCUCGUGUUGUGAAAUGUUGGGUUAAGUCCCGCAACGAGCGCAACCCUUAUCCUUUGUUGCCAGCGGUUAGGCCGGGAACUCAAAGGAGACUGCCAGUGAUAAACUGGAGGAAGGUGGGGAUGACGUCAAGUCAUCAUGGCCCUUACGACCAGGGCUACACACGUGCUACAAUGGCGCAUACAAAGAGAAGCGACCUCGCGAGAGCAAGCGGACCUCAUAAAGUGCGUCGUAGUCCGGAUUGGAGUCUGCAACUCGACUCCAUGAAGUCGGAAUCGCUAGUAAUCGUGGAUCAGAAUGCCACGGUGAAUACGUUCCCGGGCCUUGUACACACCGCCCGUCACACCAUGGGAGUGGGUUACAAAAGAAGUAGGUAGCUUAACCUUCGGGAGGGCGCUUACCACUUUGUGAUUCAUGACUGGGGUGAAGUCGUAACAAGGUAACCGUAGGGGAACCUGCGGUUGGAUCACCUCCUUACCUGAAAGAAGC
RNAcentral lists this ribosomal RNA (1556 nucleotides) under Salmonella enterica subsp. enterica serovar Derby. RNAcentral's name for it is "bacterial SSU rRNA". It matches the Rfam family "Bacterial small subunit ribosomal RNA". The record is from RNAcentral. Lineage: Bacteria; Pseudomonadati; Pseudomonadota; Gammaproteobacteria; Enterobacterales; Enterobacteriaceae.